This 775-nucleotide ribosomal RNA is filed under the name uncultured Neocallimastigales. RNAcentral's name for it is "partial large subunit ribosomal RNA". It matches the Rfam family "Eukaryotic large subunit ribosomal RNA", at positions 22 to 644 of the family's 3401-position model. The record is from RNAcentral. Lineage: Eukaryota; Fungi; Neocallimastigomycota; Neocallimastigomycetes; Neocallimastigales.
CGCAUCUGUGCACUGCAGCAUAUCAAUAAGCGGAGGAAAAGAAACUAACAAGGAUUCCCUUAGUAACGGCGAGUGAAGCGGGAAGAGCUCAAAUUUGAAAUCUUCAAGGUUUUACCUUGACGAAUUGUAGUUUAAAGAAGUGUUUUCUGUUGAAGUUUUGGUAAAAGUUCUUUGGAAUAGGACAUCAUAGAGGGUGAGAAUCCCGUAUUUGACCAUUAUUUUCAGCUGUGUGAUACACUUUCAAAGAGUCGGAUUGUUUGGGAAUGCAGUCCAAAAUGGGUGGUAAAUUUCAUCUAAAGCUAAAUAUUGGCGAGAGACCGAUAGCGAACAAGUACCGUGAGGGAAAGAUGAAAAGAACUUUGAAAAGAGAGUUAAACAGUACGUGAAAUUGUCAAAAGGGAAGCGUUUGACACCAGUGUUGUUUUCUCGAAAAUCAAUUAAAAAGAGUUAGAUUUUGUUGUGUAUUGACCUUAACAGCUUGCAUUUCAAUUUUCUUGCUUUUUUUAAUGCACUUUUCGUUUAACAAGUCAACAUCAGUUUCUUUUGUUGUAAAAAGGUCAUUGGAAGGUGGCUUGCUUUUCGGAGAAAGUGUUUAUAGCCUUUGACUCCUGCAAUCGGAGAGACUGAGGUCUGCAGCGUAGAUCCUUCGGGGUUAGAUACAUUUGUGCUAAGUUAUAGCUUUUUAUAGACAACUUGUUGACUAUGAUUAGUCUUGUAGCUUACUCGCUUAUGCUAUUUUACCUACGCUUAGGAUGUUGACACACGCGCGUGCUCG